RNAcentral lists this ribosomal RNA (251 nucleotides) under uncultured bacterium. Its description in RNAcentral is "partial 16S ribosomal RNA". The record is from RNAcentral.
CUGCUGCCUCCCGUAGGAGUUUGGGCCGUGUCUCAGUCCCAAUGUGGCCGGUCACCCUCUCAGGUCGGCUACUGAUCGUUGCCUUGGUGAGCCGUUACCUCUCCAGCUAGCUAAUCAGACGCGGGUCCAUCUCAUACCACCUCAGUUUUUCACACCAAACCAUGCGGUUUUGUGCGCUUAUGCGGUAUUAGCAGUCAUUUCUAACUGUUAUCCCCCUGUAUGAGGCAGGUUACCCACGCGUUACUCACCCG